This is a long non-coding RNA of Homo sapiens (human), 1889 nucleotides long. Ensembl annotates it as long intergenic non-protein coding RNA 635. The record is from Ensembl. NCBI's taxonomy places the organism in Eukaryota, Metazoa, Chordata, Mammalia, Primates, Hominidae.
AUAGCAACAGCAGCGUAGCUGAACAUCUUACGGAUGGCCCAGGGCUCCAAAGGCUCGUUUCCUAAGUGAGAGAGAGCCUGGCUGAAGCUGUAUUACCAUUCAUUCUCCAGCCUCCGAAGUCUCAAAGCAUCACUUCCACCAUACUCUAACUGUCAAGACAAACACAAAGGCCCAGAAAGAAGAAUACACUAUCGAUGUUCCUUUUAAACAAGUAUUUGAGUAAAAGCGAUGUUUCCAAUGUGUGUCAGAAAGUGAAUACUUGUAUAUUUCCGCACGGUUAGAGCUGAGCUUUCCGAGCAAAUUUUACUGGGACCCGGUUGAAAGACAGGUCUUGGAAGUGAAAUGAUGACUGACUAGAUGACAUUACAUGUAAAUGGAAUCAUACAAUAUGUGAUCUUUUGUGACUGGCUUCUUUCACUUAGCAUAACGUUUUCAAGGUUUGUUCGUGUUGUAGCAGAAACUGCCAGACUGUCUUCUGAAGUGGCUAUAAUAUUUACACUCCCAUCAGCAGUGUAGAAGGGGUCUCACUAUGUUGUCUGGAGUGCUGUGGUGGAGUGGAGUGGCUAUUCACAGAGCCUGUUCUGCUGGGACACAGAAUCACUUGCUCCAUCUCAUACAUUGAUGAUGAUUAAUUUGUAUGUGUACCUUCCAAAAAAGAUGGUUGUGUUUGAAUGGAGGCCUUCUGGACAGGAAAAUUGCAAAGUACAAUUAACAUUUGAGUCUGUCUGAGUCAUGAAGAAAUGGAGAUUACUGAAAAUAAUUCAUUUUGGUAUCUUCUUACAUCCUGAGAGACUAAUCUUUCCAAGUUCAUCUGAGGCUCCUCUUCUCCAUGACAACCUCAUCCAGGGAUUUCUUCCUGUCCUGGUGUUUUAUGACAUCAUCCUCAUCUCGCUUGUAAGGAUAAUAGCCUUCCUCCAAACCUCACACACUUUUGGAGGAGAUCACUUUUUUUAAAGUGCAUGGAAAUGUUUUGAAACAGUGAAAUCUAUAAUGAUAGGUUUCAUAAUUCUAACAUCCACACCAUAUGAAUCACAUCCUUCCUGAGAUAAUGAGCACACAAUUGCCUGGAUACCUGAAGGAAUGGAGACAGCGGCAGAAAACACUGCAGAGAGGUGGAAACAUCCGUUAAUAUUUUAAAAUCCCAUUACUGCUACCAACAAUAAUAAUGGAUGCAUAGAAAUAGAUCUGGAUUAGCUGAGCUUGAAACAGUCCAUCUCACACACACACAAAAGAAUUUCAGAUACAGUGAACCCACAUGUUGAAGCUUUCUAGUAUAAUAAAAAUUUCAACUGUUCUGUUGAAUCAUCUGCCUGAUUGGAGGCUACAGAAAAGAUGUCAUCUUAGGAGUGCUUGCUCUGAGUGAGGCUCAUCUUCAAAUCUGAAUGACCACAAGGAGAUUUGAUUAUACAUGUGAACACCUCAGAAGGCACAGCCCACCCAGAAGGCAGACAGGUCAGGCUGCUUUUUCUUCAUUGCUUGGAUUCAAUCCUCCGGGCGGCUCAGGCUCAAACAUAACUUAAGCAUGAUUAAACUUUAGAAGAAGCUGCCAGGAAGACUGUGAAAUCUUCAUGCCCAAGGAUCCCUAAAAUUAGGAGCAACAACCACUUGGCUCAGACGGUUUAUGGAGGCAAAGGUUUGGAUGGGAUUAGAGAUUUCUAAAUGUGAGUUCGUGUCCUCUGCCAGACCACCUUACUUCCACCAUUCCUCAGCAAAUCAAGAAAAACAGGAGAAAAGACAUGCCUUUCCAUAAGUUAAAUCUAUUCUGUUUUAAUUCUAUAUUAUAUCUGCUGUACAACUUCUUUUGUUUGUAACACCAUAUUGUUGCUAGUAACUGGAAAUUAAUUUUCACAUGCCUCAGCUUAGAAAAAUAAAAAGCAGCCCUGCAUCAA